CUUUAUGAUGCUGCUAACCUUGCGCAGCGUAUUGCCUCGCCAGGACUACCACCCCUUGAGUUCCUAAAUAACAAUCUGGAGAAAAAAGCUGACUUCUGGGAUUAAAAAGGCAUGUUUAUUCGCUGACACACGAUGUAGCAAUUCUUAUUCUAGUCGUUGACGAUGCCCAUGCCAGGGAAUUGGCUUGUGUCUUGCUCCUAUCUCAAUAUCCCGGACAAUGGAAGCCCUCGAUGCUCAACUGGAGGAUAAGGCGGCUUUUCUUCGGUUUUUUCGAAGGGCUUUGACCUGGCUGCCUGAGAGGAGAGCAACAGAAUUCUUUUCUUCUGGUGAGAAGCAUGAAUAUCUUUUGUUGUGACAUUUUGAUUAUCAAAGGAGGUCAUCUGUCGUCGCGCCGGCAAACGGUUCCUCCGCAUCCAUCCAGGUA
RNAcentral lists this small RNA (424 nucleotides) under Histoplasma capsulatum. Its description in RNAcentral is "hypothetical RNA". The record is from RNAcentral. RNAcentral also lists the same sequence under 1 other name. Lineage: Eukaryota; Fungi; Ascomycota; Eurotiomycetes; Onygenales; Ajellomycetaceae.